GUGAAGCUGGCCAGGUGCAGAUGACCCCCUGAGGCUGGACAGAAUUCAAAGCAGCAUAGACAAACAGCAGACAAGACCCGCAGCUCCCAGGCCCUGUCCUUGCCAGAUGUUGGUGGCUCACCGUCCCCAACUGGCCUGACCCAGCAAGAGAUGCCACCCCAGCCUUCCAGGGACCUGAAGGUAGCCCAAAUGGCAGCACAGGAAGACAACCCCUGAGAUUAUGAGACCCAAGUAAAUCUUGGUGAUCCCCAAAGGCCUCUGUGGGGACUUCACUUUCUACCUCUAGCCUGAGGCAGUCAAUAUUUCCCGGGUUUACACCUCCAGCCCACAUCUCCAGAGCUCCAGACUCGCAGGUCAGAGGUGGCACUGUUUACCUGCCAAGGUGGUGGUACAAGCCUAAAGCAAAGACAGAUGGAGCAAGACUAGACCAACUCUGAGUGGUGGGCACAAGCUUGGGGCUGUUCCUUCACAGGAGCAGCUGAAUCUCCCAAGUCAGGGACGAGGGAGGCAGCUAGCCUCCCACACAGUGUCUCAAAGCUGCCAUCAGAGAGAGCACACUCUGGGUAGAAUGUGGCUCUGUGAUCUCUGUCUUCUAAUUCACUCUAAAUAGUAGGGACUGCUUCUUCCAGCAUCGCACUCCCUGUGCCCCUAGAACACGGGGAGCUCAACCCUGCUAUAUGUGAGAAAUACAAGGGAGCGUUUACAAACUACUGCUGUCGAGACCCAGUACAUUCUGAUGCAAUGGUCUGGGGUAGGUCUCAGGCAUGUGAUGUGAUAUAUAUCUGCUCCCUCACACUUUCCUGGUCAUCUGAUGAGUAGGUACAGCUGCAAACCAGGGUGGCUCUUUCUGGGGUAUCUGACCCAAGCCCACCAGCUCCUGAUCCCCCAACCUGGGUCAGCCUCAGGUCCACCCAGCAAAGCCGCUGACCAGGGAGCUGAGGGGUCUAACUGGCCAGUAAGGGUGAUCCCUGGCCUGGGAGUCAGAAUCCUGACUCCCACCUGGCUCUGCCCUGAAUUACCAGGACCCCGUAACUCAGUGCUCCUAAUUUCCUACAACCCCAAUUUCUUCAACCACCAACUCAGGAGGCAGAGAAGUUUUAUAAAGACCAACGAGAUUGUUUACCCAGAGUAAUGCUGCUAAACAAAUACUCUGCACCCACCAUGCUAGGUGCUGAAGGCAUGUUAUUUCCUUUGGUUCUACUACUCUGCCCACUUUAAAGCUGAGAGAAUUGAGGCUCAGAGAAGCUAACUCACUUGACCAGGGUCCCACAACCACUAACUACAUGAGGGAGCUGGAAUACAAUUCCAGAGCUUGCAUGCCUAAGCACCACCUUUGGUUUACACACCAGAGGAAUAUGAAGGGACUUAUUGCUGGCUGUCUUUUCCCGGAGGUCAAGGCUAAAGCUGGCAAGACAUACUCUGGGAGGAUGGUUCAGGUCGUGCAGAGAAGUGCCCUUGGCACACUCCUUGAUGUUGGUGUGGCAGCGUUGGUUUCCCCACCCUCCAUCGUGGGCUGCCAAGGAGUGGCUGCAAAGCUUUCUUCUUCAUUUAGUAAGAGCACAAGAUGGUGGUUGGCCCAAAGAUGAGGUGACAUUAGCCAGCUGAGAGAGAACAGCAGCCUUCUCUGCCCAGCUGGAAGGAAAGAAAAAACAAAGGAGCAUGGCAGAGUGAACUGUGGGCCUGUCUCCAACUCUGAAAGCUAGUAGCCUGCAGGUUCAGAUCUCCCUGCAUCCCGCCGCUCCACUUUUCACCUUCUUUUGAGCAAACCCAGAAGAGGAAUUCGAGCAUAGGAGAGAGUGGAAGAUGAGCAGACAUGAAAUGUCAGCAGCAAAGCGCCCUUCUGGAUUUACUUUCCCACUUCCUUCCGACGGGGAAGAAGCAGGUAAGGGAACACAGGAAAAGCUUGCAUAAAGCUUCUUGAUCCAAUCAGGUAC
Molecule: long non-coding RNA, 1934 nt
Filed under: Equus caballus (horse)
Lineage: Eukaryota; Metazoa; Chordata; Mammalia; Perissodactyla; Equidae
Description: lncRNA (ENSECAG00000049315.1)
Source: RNAcentral